GUGCUCACUUCAGCAACAAAUAUACUAAAAUAGUAAUGAUACAGAGAUUAGCAUGGCUCCUGCACACGGAUGACAUGCAAAUAAAAAUAAAUAAAAAUAA
RNAcentral lists this small nuclear RNA (100 nucleotides) under Myotis lucifugus (little brown bat). The record is from RNAcentral. Lineage: Eukaryota; Metazoa; Chordata; Mammalia; Chiroptera; Vespertilionidae.